GCAGUGGUGGUUCAGUGGUAGAACUCUCGCUUUCCAUGCAGGAGACCUGGGUUUGAUUUACUGCCAGUGUA
RNAcentral lists this transfer RNA (71 nucleotides) under Loxodonta africana (African savanna elephant). It matches the Rfam family "tRNA". From Rfam's summary of the family: Transfer RNA (tRNA) molecules are approximately 80 nucleotides in length. Their secondary structure includes four short double-helical elements and three loops (D, anti-codon, and T loops). Further hydrogen bonds mediate the characteristic L-shaped molecular structure. tRNAs have two regions of fundamental functional importance: the anti-codon, which is responsible for specific mRNA codon recognition, and the 3' end, to which the tRNAs corresponding amino acid is attached (by aminoacyl-tRNA synthetases). tRNAs cope with the degeneracy of the genetic code in two manners: having more than one tRNA (with a specific anti-codon) for a particular amino acid; and 'wobble' base-pairing, i.e. permitting non-standard base-pairing at the 3rd anti-codon position. The record is from Rfam by way of RNAcentral. Lineage: Eukaryota; Metazoa; Chordata; Mammalia; Proboscidea; Elephantidae.